Non-coding RNA from Parasteatoda tepidariorum (common house spider), 639 nucleotides. Lineage: Eukaryota; Metazoa; Arthropoda; Arachnida; Araneae; Theridiidae. The record is from RefSeq and is a predicted model, not a curated record.
UCCGGAGCCAACAAAUUUGAAAAAAAUUCAUAGUUUUUUGGGAUUGACCGGAUACUUCAGAAAAUUUAUUCCGAACUAUUCUAUAAUAGCUAGACCGCUGAGUGACCUGCUAAAAAAAGAUCAUAAGUUUAAGUUUAGCAUUGAAGAAAAGAAAGCGUUUAAUCAAUUAAAAUCUUUGUCAGCCCAAGAUAAAGAUACUGGAAUUAAGACUAUAAAAGAACUACUUAAAAUUUCGAAUUAUGAAGAUUAUUGCAAUAGAAACGUAAUUUUGUAUAAAUUUGUCGAUGGCAAAGAAUUGGUGGUUGUGCCAGAAAAUAUGCAAAUCGAAAUUAUAAGAACAGCUCAUGAGAAAGGACACUCUGGAAUUAAAUAUUCGGAAAAAGAAAUCGAAGAAUAUUAUUUCAUACCCAAACUUAGACAGAAAAUAGAAAACAUCAUAGCAAAUUGUGUUCAUUGCAUACUGGUGAAUCAUGAAAGAGGAAAGAAAGAAGGACUAUUACAUCCAUUGCAUAAAGAAGAUAUGCCUUUGAAAACUUUUCAUAUUGAUCAUCUCGGACCUUUGGAGAGCACCCAUAAAAAUUAUAAAUAUGUGUUAGCGAUAAUAGAUGCUUUUACCAAGUUUGUAUGGAUUUAUCCCAC